GUGAAAUUGUUGAAAGGGAAGCGCUGGCAACCGGACUCGAGCGCGGUGUUCCCCCUGGCUUCUGCUAGGGUUACUUCACCGUGUCCGGGCCAUCAUCAGUUUUGGGGACCGGUCAAAGGCCCCGGGAAUGUAUCGUCUCCUUCGGGGGACGACUUAUAGCCCGGGGUGUCAUGCGGCCUCCCGGGACUGAGGAACGCGCUUCGGCGAGGAUGAUGGCGUAAUGGUUGUCAGCGACCCCGGUGUCGUUGCCACGGAUUUUCCC
Molecule: ribosomal RNA, 262 nt
Filed under: Knufia sp.
Lineage: Eukaryota; Fungi; Ascomycota; Eurotiomycetes; Chaetothyriales; Trichomeriaceae
Description: partial large subunit ribosomal RNA
Source: RNAcentral